GGUAGGAGUUUGCGCAUGAGCAGAAGUGUCGGGAAAACUGGAGAAGGGUUCGGAGGCGGUAUUGACAGCUGUGGAGGCAGCCCGCGUUCCCGGCAUGCCCCGGGGCGGCGGGGUUGGCUCUAACGAAUUUGAAUGAGGAGCCUCAGCGCUUUCGGCGCCAUUUUCGAGUGAUGCCUGAUCUCAUCAAUCUAGCGGGAGAGACGGGAUAACCUGUCCGAGAUUAUAGCGCUACUAGGACUCCGCCGAAAAAUCACCAAAAAAAUCGCCAAAAAUUACUUUGAGCAAAGGGCAGUCCGUGGGGCUUCGCCAGGAUUGGCGCAGACGUCUUUGAAACAUGUCGCAAGGAUAAAAGCAAUCUGUGAAACUAUUGAUGUUUUCCUCCCGAAAAGUCUUAGCCCGGACAACUUAACGGUUUUGACCUUUAGGAGAGAGCCAAUUCUGGAGAACAACCUAACUUCUUUGAUUGAACACUCACAUAAUGCAUUGGAACAUGAUAGGAGAUUAAGGUUUAAUGAUAAAAUGAAGACCAUAAUAAAACAGUCCCCGUCCUUAGCUCAGGAAUUCUUACCUUGUGGAUAUUACUAUCCCUUAUUCAUCGAAAAAGUUUUAAUUCUAAGUGUUGUUUCUCAUUGA
RNAcentral lists this long non-coding RNA (633 nucleotides) under Ursus maritimus (polar bear). RNAcentral describes it as "lncRNA (ENSUMAG00000018477.1)". Lineage: Eukaryota; Metazoa; Chordata; Mammalia; Carnivora; Ursidae. The record is from RNAcentral.